Molecule: small RNA, 605 nt
Filed under: Arabidopsis thaliana (thale cress)
Lineage: Eukaryota; Viridiplantae; Streptophyta; Magnoliopsida; Brassicales; Brassicaceae
Description: ATSL195610
Source: RNAcentral
UAAUUCAACAAUUAUUUACAACUAAUUUCCUCAAAAGAGCUAUUAUUCAGACCAGUUUGUAUAUAGUGUCAAUAGAAAUAAGUGUGGAGUUCUUUACAGAAUCCAAUUAAAUCCUGAACUAUUUUAAAAAUUGUCUCUAAAAAAUGACUUGACAUACUAACAACAAAAAGUAUUUUAAGGUAGAGAUUCAAAUUCGUCAAAAGUAACCACCGAUGGGAGAUUUAAUUGGGACUCUAGUCACUGAAAGUCGAAUCUGGAGAUCAAGACGGCGAAGAAAUUGGUUUCAAGAGGUUAGGGUUUGAUUAAGAGAGAAUUGCUAAAAAAGAAGAAAUAGGUUAGUUUUUUUUGUAGUUUCUCAAACAUAAUAAGAGUACUUUUGUCAUUUACCAGAUAUAACGCGUUUGACGCUGACUUUCAUUAGCAUCUACAAUUGUUAGCCGCAGGAUGCUGAGUUUGCUGCAGCUACUUGCGUCAACCAAACGAACAUACAUACUCAGUUACGUUUGCCACCGCCACAACAACAUGUGAUGACCAAACGAACACGCUAAUUAUACACGACAAGGAUCCUCUUAUUCUUCUUGCGAGUCAUGAUCCCUUUUACAAAU